Molecule: ribosomal RNA, 268 nt
Filed under: uncultured bacterium
Lineage: Bacteria
Description: partial 16S ribosomal RNA
Rfam family: Bacterial small subunit ribosomal RNA
Source: RNAcentral
GAUGGCGACCGGCGCACGGGUGAGUAACACGUAUCCAACCUGCCGAUGACUCGGGGAUAGCCUUUCGAAAGAAAGAUUAAUACCCGAUGGCAUAGUUCUUCCGCAUGGUAGAACUAUUAAAGAAUUUCGGUCAUCGAUGGGGAUGCGUUCCAUUAGGUUGUUGGCGGGGUAACGGCCCACCAAGCCUUCGAUGGAUAGGGGUUCUGAGAGGAAGGUCCCCCACCAUUGGAACUGAGACACGGUCCAAACUCCUACGGGAGGCAGCAUG